RNAcentral lists this ribosomal RNA (468 nucleotides) under uncultured bacterium. RNAcentral's name for it is "partial 16S ribosomal RNA". It matches the Rfam family "Bacterial small subunit ribosomal RNA", at positions 28 to 507 of the family's 1533-position model. The record is from RNAcentral.
GACGAACGCUGGCGGCGUGCUUAACACAUGCAAGUCGAACGGAAAGGCCCUGCUUUUGUGGGUUGCUCGAGUGGCGAACGGGUGAGUAACACGUGAGUAACCUGCCCUUGACUUUGGGAUAACUUCAGGAAACUGGGGCUAAUACCGGAUAGGAGCUCCUGCUGCAUGGUGGGGGUUGGAAAGUUUCGGCGGUUGGGGAUGGACUCGCGGCUUAUCAGCUUGUUGGUGGGGUAGUGGCUUACCAAGGGUUUGACGGGUAGCCGGCCUGAGAGGGUGACCGGCGAAAUUGGGACUGAGAGACGGAGCAGAAGGGUACGGGAGGCAGCAGUGGGGAAUAUUGCAAAAUGGGAGGAAGCCUGAUGCAGCAACGCCGCGUGCGGGAUGACGGCCUUCGGGUUGUAAACAGAUUUAGCAUGUGACGAAGAGUGAGUGACGGUAAUGGGUAAAGAAGCACCGGCUAACUACGUG